UCCAUCUCCUGAGUCCCAGGCCACAAAGAACUAGAUACCACUCCUGGUCACAGUAGAGCCAGAUUACUUGCUGUCCUCUCCAAAGAGCAUUUUACAAUGAAGAGAAGGCUGAAUGGAGUGGUGAGUACCAGCCUAAGCGUUUGCAGGCAUGACCUCUUUCUUCUGACUUUGUGACUCCUUGCCUUGGAUCCUUGCCAUUUUGCCUUCCUCGGCUGCCUCCUAAUGCUUCCCAGUUCCUCAUAUUUCCCUAAUAAUAUCUGACUCAUAGCUGGCUCUCUGGAGAGUUUGAAGUGCGUUUUAUAUUGAGUGCCUGCAUUGGUCGCCUCUGUGAAAUAAGUUAGUUGGGGGCUUUGCACUAUUGGAUCAUUUGUUUUUAUGUUGGGCCACCUUUGAGGGCAUUGGCUAUACUGAUAUUUGAAUUUUCUUUUUCCUCUGUGAUGUCUGGUUUCAGCCUUCUUGUGAUACCUCAGGGUAUAUCUCCCUUACAUGUGUUUUGAC
Molecule: long non-coding RNA, 498 nt
Filed under: Mustela putorius furo (domestic ferret)
Lineage: Eukaryota; Metazoa; Chordata; Mammalia; Carnivora; Mustelidae
Description: lncRNA (ENSMPUG00000025682.1)
Source: RNAcentral